CCUGCCCCUAGAGGCGUUGCAGAUGUGGCUGCUGUGUCACAUGUGUGUCAGUAGGUGGCAGAGAGGAAAGAGGCUAUGUCUACGCUCAGUGUUCUGGCCUGUGAACAUCUGAAUGAUUAGUAGCCUAACAUU
Molecule: small nucleolar RNA, 132 nt
Organism: Mastomys coucha (southern multimammate mouse)
Lineage: Eukaryota; Metazoa; Chordata; Mammalia; Rodentia; Muridae
Product: small nucleolar RNA SNORA17
Exons: 1
Source: RefSeq, a predicted model, not a curated record